Molecule: RNA transcript, 2446 nt
Organism: Medicago truncatula (barrel medic)
Lineage: Eukaryota; Viridiplantae; Streptophyta; Magnoliopsida; Fabales; Fabaceae
Gene name: long chain acyl-CoA synthetase 4
Exons: 20
Source: RefSeq, a predicted model, not a curated record
AAUUUCUCAUUCUCCGCUUAACUUAACCAUUUUUCUCUUCGCUAUCGUUAUUGAGCCAUGGCGCAGGAAAGAUUCAUCAUUGAGGUUGAAAAAGCGAAGGCAGCAACGGAGGAUAAACCUUCAAGAGGACCUGCGUAUCGCAGUAUCUUCGCUAAGGAUGGAUUUCCUCCUCCUAUUCCUGGUCUUGAUAGUUGCUGGGAUGUUUUUCGAUUGUCUGUUGAGAAAUAUCCAAAUAAUCCUAUGCUUGGUAGCCGAGAGAUUGUGGAUGGGAAGCAUGGCAAGUACAAGUGGCAAACUUACAAAGAAGUAUAUGACAUGGUGAUCAAAGUCGGAAAUUCUAUCCGCAGCUGUGGUUAUGGAGAAGGUGUAAAAUGUGGUAUUUAUGGUGCCAAUUCUGCAGAGUGGAUUAUGAGCAUGGAGGCUUGCAAUGCUCAUGGACUUCAUUGUGUUCCUUUAUACGAUACCUUAGGUUCUGGGGCCAUAGAAUUUAUCAUAUCCCAUGCAGAGGUCUCAAUUGCAUUUGCAGAAGAAAAGAAGAUACCUGAGCUAUUGAAGACAUUUCCAAAUGCAACAAAAUAUCUCAAGACAAUUGUGAGCUUCGGAAAGGUUACCCCUGAACAAAAGCAAGAAGUUGAAAAGUUUGGAUUGGCAAUAUAUUCAUGGACUGAAUUUUUACAAUUGGGUAAAAGUCAUAGUUUUGAUUUACCUGUAAAGAAAAGAAGCGAUAUCUGUACAAUAAUGUAUACUAGCGGAACUACUGGUGACCCCAAGGGGGUAUUGAUAUCCAAUGAGAGUAUUAUUACCCUCUUAGCUGGGGUGAAGCGACUAUUGGAGAGUGUCAAUGAAAAAUUGACUGAGAAGGAUGUGUACUUAUCAUACCUUCCUCUCGCACACAUCUUUGAUAGGGUCAUUGAAGAGACAUUUAUAUGGCAUGGUGGUUCAAUAGGCUUCUGGCGCGGGGAUGUUAAACUAUUAAUUGAAGAUCUCGGGGAGCUAAAACCAACUAUUUUCUGUGCGGUACCCCGUGUACUUGAUAGAGUGUACUCUGGUUUGACACAGAAAAUUUCUUCUGGAGGCUUCCUGAAGAAGACAUUAUUCAACUUUGCUUAUUCAUAUAAGUUGAAUAACAUGAAGAAAGGACAAAACCAUGCAGUAGCAUCUCCACUUCUUGACAAAAUUGUGUUCGAUAAGGUGAAGCAAGGUUUAGGGGGUAGUGUACGUCUUAUUCUGUCUGGAGCAGCACCUCUAUCCUUGCAUGUGGAAAGUUACCUACGUGUGGUGACUUGUGCUCAUGUCCUACAAGGAUAUGGUCUGACUGAAACCUGUGCGGGAACCUUUGUCUCAUUACCAAAUGAACUAGAUAUGCUUGGAACAGUGGGUCCUCCUGUACCAAAUGUGGAUGCGUGCCUGGAAUCUGUUCCUGAAAUGGGUUACGAUGCCCUUGCAAGCACGCCAAGAGGAGAAAUUUGUGUAAAGGGAGAUACCUUGUUUUCGGGGUACUACAAACGCGAAGAUCUCACAAAAGAGGUUCUGGUUGAUGGAUGGUUCCAUACAGGGGACAUUGGAGAGUGGCAACCUAAUGGAAGUAUGAAGAUUAUUGAUCGGAAGAAGAAUAUAUUCAAGCUUUCCCAAGGAGAAUAUGUUGCCGUUGAAAACCUGGAGAAUAUUUAUAGCCAAGUUCCUUCUGUUGAAUCUAUAUGGGUUUACGGAAACAGUUUUGAGGCCUUCCUUGUUGCUGUUGUUAACCCCAGCAAACCAGCACUUGAACAUUGGGCAGAAGAAAAUGGUAUAUCCGUGGACUUCAAUUCUCUCUGUGGAGAUUCUAGGGCAAAAGGUUACAUACUUGAUGAGCUCUCAAAGAUUGGAAAGGAAAAGAAGUUGAAAGGAUUUGAGUUCAUAAAAGCAGUCCAUCUUGACCCAGUUCCAUUUGAUAUGGAACGUGACCUUAUCACUCCAACAUAUAAGAAGAAGAGGCCCCAGUUGCUUAAAUACUAUCAGACUUGAAACUGAACACUCGACAUGGUAGCUGAAUCCUAAGUAAUUUGGAAUACCUAACGUGAAUGUAAUGUUAUUGAUGACAUGUACAAAAGUGGAAAUAAACCCCGUGCCUGAGAGAUGCUUUUGGAGUUGGUGCCAUGCCAUGUAGAUAAUUCAUUUUCUGCAUGUGAUUGUGCUUGCCUUUGUUCAUUUAUUAUUUCCUUUUGGUUAUUGUCUGUACAUAUGAUUAUGAAGAGACGGCAGAUGAUCUGCCUCACUCAACCGUGAAAGAUACGAUAAUACAAAGUUUAAACAAAUUGUUUUCUUCACCUCUAGCAAUAUUCGUUGCAAACUUUUGUUAGGAAAAUAAAAUAUUAUUCCAUUCCUUAUCAAAAUUAACAGUGGUGUAGUUCUUGUUUUUUACUUAGUGAUGUUUUCAAAGAUUUAUACAAUAAGCAGUGAAUGUGAA